Molecule: ribosomal RNA, 175 nt
Filed under: uncultured bacterium
Lineage: Bacteria
Description: partial 16S ribosomal RNA
Rfam family: Bacterial small subunit ribosomal RNA
Source: RNAcentral
CUGGAAUCGCUAGUAAUCGCGGAUCAGAAUGCCGCGGUGAAUACGUUCCCGGGUCUUGUACACACCGCCCGUCACACCAUGGGAGUCGGAAAUGCCCGAAGUCUGUGACCCAACCUUAGGGAGGGAGCAGCCGAAGGCAGGUCGGAUGACUGGGGUGAAGUCGUAACAAGGUAAC